RNAcentral lists this ribosomal RNA (497 nucleotides) under uncultured bacterium. Its description in RNAcentral is "partial 16S ribosomal RNA". It matches the Rfam family "Bacterial small subunit ribosomal RNA", at positions 28 to 507 of the family's 1533-position model. The record is from RNAcentral.
GAUGAACGCUGGCGGCGUGCCUAAUACAUGCAAGUCGAGCGAACAGAUGAGGAGCUUGCUCCUCUGACGUUAGCGGCGGACGGGUGAGUAACACGUGGAUAACCUACCUAUAAGACUGGGAUAACUUCGGGAAACCGGAGCUAAUACCGGAUAAUAUAUUGAACCGCAUGGUUCAAUAGUGAAAGACGGUUUUGCUGUCACUUAUAGAUGGAUCCGCGCCGCAUUAGGUAGUUGGUAAGGUAACGGCUUACCAAGGCAACGAUGCGUAGCCGACCGGAGAGGGUGAUCGGCCACACUGGAACUGAGACACGGUCCAGACUCCUACGGGAGGCAGCAGUCGGGAAUCUUCCGCAAUGGGCGAAAGCCUGACGGAGCAACGCCGCGUGAGUGAUGAAGGUCUUCGGAUCGUAAAACUCUGUUAUUAGGGAAGAACAAAUGUGUAAGUAACUAUGCACGUCUUGACGGUACCUAAUCAGAAAGCCACGGCUAACUACGUG